Molecule: transfer RNA, 76 nt
Filed under: Staphylococcus aureus
Lineage: Bacteria; Bacillati; Bacillota; Bacilli; Caryophanales; Staphylococcaceae
Description: tRNA-Thr(tgt)
Rfam family: tRNA
About the family: Transfer RNA (tRNA) molecules are approximately 80 nucleotides in length. Their secondary structure includes four short double-helical elements and three loops (D, anti-codon, and T loops).
Source: RNAcentral
GCCGGCCUAGCUCAAUUGGUAGAGCAACUGACUUGUAAUCAGUAGGUUGGGGGUUCAAGUCCUCUGACCGGCACCA